GUGCCAGCCGCCGCGGUAAUACAGAGGGUGCAAGCGUUAAUCGGAAUUACUGGGCGUAAAGCGCGCGUAGGUGGUUCAGUAAGAUGGGUGUGAAAUCCCCGGGCUCAACCUGGGAACUGCUUUCAUAACUGCUGAACUAGAGUACGGUAGAGGGUAGUGGAAUUUCCUGUGUAGCGGUGAAAUGCGUAGAUAUAGGAAGGAACACCAGUGGCGAAGGCGACUACCUGGACUGAUACUGACACUGAGGUGCGAAAGCGUGGGGAGCAAACAGGAUUAGAAACCCCCGUAGUCC
This 292-nucleotide ribosomal RNA is filed under the name uncultured prokaryote. RNAcentral's name for it is "partial 16S ribosomal RNA". It matches the Rfam family "Bacterial small subunit ribosomal RNA", at positions 505 to 796 of the family's 1533-position model. The record is from RNAcentral.